This 253-nucleotide ribosomal RNA is filed under the name uncultured bacterium. RNAcentral describes it as "partial 16S ribosomal RNA". It matches the Rfam family "Bacterial small subunit ribosomal RNA", at positions 524 to 776 of the family's 1533-position model. The record is from RNAcentral.
UACGUAGGGGGCUAGCGUUGUCCGGAAUCAUUGGGCGUAAAGCGCGUGUAGGCGGUCCGGUAAGUCCGCUGUGAAAGUCGGGGGCUCAACCCUCGGAUGCCGGUGGAUACUGUCGGGCUUGAGUACGGAAGAGGCGAGUGGAAUUCCUGGUGUAGCGGUGAUAUGCGCAGAUAUCAGGAGGAAUACCGAUGGCGAAGGCAGCUCACUGGGACGGUACUGACGCUGAGACGCGAAAGCGUGGGGAGCAAACAGG